UUCACCUGAAGGUGUUAGUGGGUGAGAACCACCGUUGGUUCGACUAAAUUGCCGGGAGCAAUUUAGAACGCCUGUUUUAUAGGCGGCCCGAAGGGCGGAGGGCAGGAGCCCGGAGUAAUCCACUCGUGCCUACCA
This 135-nucleotide small RNA is filed under the name Gammaproteobacteria bacterium. RNAcentral describes it as "RtT sRNA". It matches the Rfam family "RtT RNA". Rfam says of the family: This family represents a bacterial cis-regulatory element known as RtT RNA. The exact function of RtT is unknown although it is thought that it may be involved in changing the cellular response in relation to amino acid starvation. Lineage: Bacteria; Pseudomonadati; Pseudomonadota; Gammaproteobacteria. The record is from RNAcentral.